RNAcentral lists this ribosomal RNA (405 nucleotides) under Enterobacteriaceae bacterium AE_68. RNAcentral's name for it is "bacterial SSU rRNA". It matches the Rfam family "Bacterial small subunit ribosomal RNA", at positions 18 to 421 of the family's 1533-position model. Lineage: Bacteria; Pseudomonadati; Pseudomonadota; Gammaproteobacteria; Enterobacterales; Enterobacteriaceae. The record is from RNAcentral.
CCUGGCUCAGAUUGAACGCUGGCGGCAGGCCUAACACAUGCAAGUCGAACGGUAGCACAGAGAGCUUGCUCUCGGGUGACGAGUGGCGGACGGGUGAGUAAUGUCUGGGAAACUGCCCGAUGGAGGGGGAUAACUACUGGAAACGGUAGCUAAUACCGCAUAACGUCGCAAGACCAAAGUGGGGGACCUUCGGGCCUCACACCAUCGGAUGUGCCCAGAUGGGAUUAGCUAGUAGGUGGGGUAAUGGCUCACCUAGGCGACGAUCCCUAGCUGGUCUGAGAGGAUGACCAGCCACACUGGAACUGAGACACGGUCCAGACUCCUACGGGAGGCAGCAGUGGGGAAUAUUGCACAAUGGGCGCAAGCCUGAUGCAGCCAUGCCGCGUGUAUGAAGAAGGCCUUCGG